This 453-nucleotide unclassified non-coding RNA is filed under the name Hevea brasiliensis (rubber tree). The record is from RNAcentral. Lineage: Eukaryota; Viridiplantae; Streptophyta; Magnoliopsida; Malpighiales; Euphorbiaceae.
GUUGGACAGAAUACUAAAAUCAGGUGAACUUUGGAAGGGAUCUCUAUCUCCUCCCCAAAAUAAAAAAAAAAAAUUGCUUGCAACUUGCUAGAUCUAAAUAAGAUGUUUCAAUUUGAUGAUUAUCAGCUUACCAUUUAACAUCACUAAACUAAAGUCUUAUGAAUGAUUAAUUAGUUUGAAACAAAUAUUUAGAAUAAGUAGUAUAUACACACAAACUUUGUUAAAUCCUUACCUUUGAUCUUUGAAGUUUUGAACUGUGACAUUUUAUAUAUAAAAUAUUAUAGGUUUAAUGAUACAAUUAUUUAUGUAUGAAAUAGUUUAUCAAUACUUAGGUUUAGGAUUAGAAUUUUUAAUAUAGAAUUUUGAAUUAUUUUAUAAUAACUAGAAAAUAUGUUUAGUAUUAUAAAAUAAAAUUAAGAUUACCAAUCAUGAAAAAAAGGGGUAGACCUAAAU